GUAGGUGGCAAGCGUUGUCCGGAAUUAUUGGGCGUAAAGCGCGCGCAGGCGGUUUUUAAGUCUGAUGUGAAAGCCCACGGCUCAACCGUGGAGGGUCAUUGGAAACUGGAGAACUUGAGUACAGAAGAGGAAAGCGGAAUUCCACGUGUAGCGGUGAAAUGCGUAGAGAUGUGGAGGAACACCAGUGGCGAAGGCGGCUUUCUGGUCUGUAACUGACGCUGAGGCGCGAAAGCGUGGGGAGCAAACAGGGAUUAGAUACCCUGGUAGUCCACGCCGUAAACGAUGAGUGCUAAGUGUUAGGGGGGUUUCCGCCCCCUUAGUGCUGCAGCUAACGCAUUAAGCACUCCGCCUGGGGAUACGGCCGCAAGGCUG
RNAcentral lists this ribosomal RNA (372 nucleotides) under uncultured organism. RNAcentral's name for it is "partial 16S ribosomal RNA". It matches the Rfam family "Bacterial small subunit ribosomal RNA", at positions 527 to 896 of the family's 1533-position model. The record is from RNAcentral.